This 484-nucleotide ribosomal RNA is filed under the name uncultured bacterium. RNAcentral describes it as "partial 16S ribosomal RNA". It matches the Rfam family "Bacterial small subunit ribosomal RNA", at positions 30 to 507 of the family's 1533-position model. The record is from RNAcentral.
AUUGAACGCUGGCGGCAGGCCUAACACAUGCAAGUCGAGCGGAUGAAGGGAGCUUGCUCCUGGAUUCAGCGGCGGACGGGUGAGUAAUGCCUAGGAAUCUGCCUGGUAGUGGGGGAUAACGUCCGGAAACGGGCGCUAAUACCGCAUACGCCCUGAGGGAGAAAGAGGGGGAUCUUCGGACCUCACGCUAUCAGAUGAGCCUAGGUCGGAUUAGCUAGUUGGUGGGGUAAAGGCCUACCAAGGCGACGAUCCGUAACUGGUCUGAGAGGAUGACCAGUCACACUGGAACUGAGACACGGUCCAGACUCCUACGGGAGGCAGCAGUGGGGAAUAUUGGGCAAUGGGCGAAAGCCUGAUCCAGCCAUGCCGCGUGUGUGAAGAAGGUCUUCGGAUUGUAAAGCACUUUAAGUUGGGAGGAAGGGCAGUAAGUUAAUACCUUGCUGUUUUGACGUUACCAACAGAAUAAGCACCGGCUAACUUCGUG